RNAcentral lists this non-coding RNA (27 nucleotides) under Rattus norvegicus (Norway rat). The record is from RNAcentral. Lineage: Eukaryota; Metazoa; Chordata; Mammalia; Rodentia; Muridae.
UCUUUACCUUCUUGGUCUUUGAAGCCU